GAUGAGGUUGCCGAGUGGCUAAGGCAGUGGACUGCUAAUCCAUUGUGCUCUGCAUGUGUGGGUUCAAAUCUCACCCUCGUCA
This is a non-coding RNA of Apodemus sylvaticus (European woodmouse), 82 nucleotides long. Lineage: Eukaryota; Metazoa; Chordata; Mammalia; Rodentia; Muridae. The record is from the annotation of a RefSeq genome assembly.